GAUGAACGCUGGCGGCGUGCUUAACACAUGCAAGUCGAACGAACCUUCGGGUUAGUGGCGGACGGGUGAGUAACGCGUGAGAAUCUGCCCUCAGGAGGGGGAUAACGGUUGGAAACGACCGCUAAUACCCCAUAUGCCGCGAGGUGAAAUGAAUUUCGCCUGAGGAUGAGCUCGCGUCUGAUUAGCUAGUUGGUGGGGUAAAGGCUUACCAAGGCAUCGAUCAGUAGCUGGUCUGAGAGGAUGAUCAGCCACACUGGGACUGAGACACGGCCCAGACUCCUACGGGAGGCAGCAGUGGGGAAUUUUCCGCAAUGGGCGAAAGCCUGACGGAGCAACGCCGCGUGAGGGAUGAAGGCCUCUGGGCUGUAAACCUCUUUUAUCAAGGAAGAAGAUCUGACGGUACUUGAUGAAUAAGCCACGGCUAAUUCCGUGCCAGCCGCCGCGGUAAU
Molecule: ribosomal RNA, 449 nt
Filed under: uncultured bacterium
Lineage: Bacteria
Description: bacterial SSU rRNA
Rfam family: Bacterial small subunit ribosomal RNA
Source: RNAcentral